This 208-nucleotide microRNA precursor is filed under the name Oryza rufipogon (brownbeard rice). RNAcentral describes it as "MIR812 microRNA precursor family". It matches the Rfam family "MIR812 microRNA precursor family". Lineage: Eukaryota; Viridiplantae; Streptophyta; Magnoliopsida; Poales; Poaceae. The record is from Rfam by way of RNAcentral.
AAUAAGUGCAGUCAUGGGGAACUGUGUCCGACGUUUGGCCAUUUAUCUUAUUUGAAAAAUUUAUAAAAAAAUUAAAAAAAAUUAGUCACACGUAAAGUACUAUUCAUGUUUUAUCAUCUAAUAACAACAAAAAUACUAAUCAUAAAAUAAUUUCAAAUAAGACGAACGGUCAAAAGUUGAACAUGAACCGUGUAAAACUAUAUUUAUU